RNAcentral lists this transfer RNA (71 nucleotides) under Bos taurus (domestic cattle). It matches the Rfam family "tRNA". From Rfam's summary of the family: Transfer RNA (tRNA) molecules are approximately 80 nucleotides in length. Their secondary structure includes four short double-helical elements and three loops (D, anti-codon, and T loops). Lineage: Eukaryota; Metazoa; Chordata; Mammalia; Artiodactyla; Bovidae. RNAcentral also lists the same sequence under 4 other names. The record is from Rfam by way of RNAcentral.
CCUAUACUGGCUCAGAGGGUAAAGCUUCUGCCUGCAAUGCAGGAGACCUGGGUUCGAUCCCUGGAUCAGGA